Molecule: ribosomal RNA, 468 nt
Filed under: uncultured bacterium
Lineage: Bacteria
Description: partial 16S ribosomal RNA
Rfam family: Bacterial small subunit ribosomal RNA
Source: RNAcentral
GAUGAACGCUGGCGGCGUGCUUAACACAUGCAAGUCGAACGGAAAGGCCCAAGCUUGCUUGGGUACUCGAGUGGCGAACGGGUGAGUAACACGUGGGUGAUCUGCCCUGCACUUCGGGAUAAGCCCGGGAAACUGGGUCUAAUACCGGAUAGGACGAUGGUUUGGAUGCCAUUGUGGAAAGUUUUUUCGGUGUGGGGUGUGCUCGCGGCCUAUCAGCUGGUUGGGGGGGUAUUGGCCUACCAAGGCGUCGACGGGUAGCCGGCCUGAGAGGGUGUACGGCGACAUUGGGGCUGAGAUACGGCCCAGACUCCUACGGGGGGCAGCAGUGGGGAAUAUUGCACAAUGGGGGCGAGCCUGAUGCAGCGACGCCGCGUGGGGGAUGACGGCGUUCGGGUUGUAAACACCUUUCGCUAGGGACGAAGCGUUUUUGUGACGGUACCUGGAGAAGAAGCACCGGCUAACUACGUG